Molecule: long non-coding RNA, 304 nt
Filed under: Mytilus galloprovincialis (Mediterranean mussel)
Lineage: Eukaryota; Metazoa; Mollusca; Bivalvia; Mytilida; Mytilidae
Source: RNAcentral
AAAUUAUAAGGUUAAAAUAGAGCACACUAAAGAAAUGACAUGGGAAUAAUUUUUGAAAGUACAUGUUUCUAUUUUUUUACAUUUAGUAAAAAAAAAAGAAAGAAAUAUUAUUAAUUAGGCAUAGAAGUGACUGAAGGUGUUUAGUAAUCUGAGCUAUGAAAACUAUUGUGUCCUUGAAAGAGAAAAUGAAGUAAAAACUAAAAUUAGUUAAGUAUUUUGAUGGCAGCUGUAAAUAAUAGUAAUUCUUUGAUGAUAAUGGCUAUCUUAACCUUUAUAAUAGGGUUAAUUGGUAUUAAUGAACCUG